AAUCAACGCUGGCGGCGUGCCUAACACAUGCAAGUCGAACGGGAAACGGGGGCGAACUCCGUGAGUAUAGUGGCGUACGGGUGAGUAACACGUGACUACCUACCUUUGAGUGGGGGAUAACCCCGGGAAACCGGGGCUAAUACCGCAUAACAUCGCAAGAUCAAAGAAGCAAUUCGGCUUAAAGAGGGGUCGCGGCUGAUUAGCUAGUUGGUAGGGUAAUGGCCUACCAAGGCGAUGAUCGGUAGCCGGCCUGAGAGGGCGCACGGCCACACUGGAACUGAAACACGGUCCAGACUCCUACGGGAGGCAGCAGUGGGGAAUUUUGCGCAAGUGGGGGAAACCCUGACGCAGG
Molecule: ribosomal RNA, 352 nt
Filed under: uncultured bacterium
Lineage: Bacteria
Description: bacterial SSU rRNA
Rfam family: Bacterial small subunit ribosomal RNA
Source: RNAcentral